GAUGAAGAACGCAGCGAAAUGCGAUAAGUAAUGUGAAUUGCAGAAUUCAGUGAAUCAUCGAAUCUUUGAACGCACAUUGCGCCCGCCAGUAUUCUGGCGGGCAUGCCUGUUCGAGCGUCAUUUCAACCAUCAAGCCCUAGGCUUGCGUUGGAGCCCUGCGGCUGCCGCAGGCCCCUAAAAGCAGUGGCGGGCUCGCUAUCACACCGAGUGCAGUAGAUUACUCUUCGCUCAGGGCGUGUGGCGGGUUCCAGCCGUGAAACCCCCUACUUCUCAAGGUUGACCUCGGAUCAGGUAGGAAUACCCGCUGAACUUAAGCAUAUCAAUAAGCGGAGGA
Molecule: unclassified non-coding RNA, 334 nt
Filed under: soil metagenome
Description: partial contains 5.8S ribosomal RNA, internal transcribed spacer 2, and large subunit ribosomal RNA
Rfam family: 5.8S ribosomal RNA (bases 1-120)
Source: RNAcentral